AACGUACGCUGGCGGCACGCCUAACACAUGCAAGUCGAACGAAGUAGCAAUACUUAGUGGCAGACGGGUGAGUAACAUGUAGGUAUCUGCCCUUUGGCCUGGAAUAACACGAGGAAACUUGUGCUAAUACCGGAUAAGUCUUUACGGAGAAAGCUUUAUGCACCAUUGGAUGAGCCUGCACUUGAUUAGUUUGUUGGUGGGGUAAUGGCCUACCAAGACUGUGAUCAAUAGCUGAUUUGAGAGGAUGAUCAGCCACAUUGGGACUGAGACACGGCCCAAACUCCUACGGGAGGCAGCAGUGGGGAAUCUUGCACAAUGGAGGAAACUCUGAUGCAGCGAUGCCGCGUGAGUGAAGAAGGCCCUUGGGUUGUAAAGCUCCUUCGUCGGGGAAGAAAAUGACUGUACCCGAAUAAGAAGGUCCGGCUAACUUCGUGCCAGCAGCCGCGGUAAUACGAAGGGACCUAGCGUAGUUCGGAAUUACUGGGCUUAAAGAGUUCGUAGGUGGUUGAAAAAGUUAGUGGUGAAAUCCCAGAGCUUAACUCUGGAACUGCCAUUAAAACUUUUCAGCUAGAGUAUGAUAGAGGAAAGCAGAAUUUCUAGUGUAGAGGUGAAAUUCGUAGAUAUUAGAAAGAAUACCAAUUGCGAAGGCAGCUUUCUGGAUCAUUACUGACACUGAGGAACGAAAGCAUGGGUAGCGAAGAGGAUUAGAUACCCUCGUAGUCCAUGCCGUAAACGAUGUGUGUUAGACGUUGGAAAUUUAUUUUCAGUGUCGCAGGGAAACCGAUAAACACACCGCCUGGGGAGUACGACCGCAAGGUUAAAACUCAAAUGAAUUGACGGGGACCCGCACAAGUAGUGGAGCAUGUGGUUUAAUUCGAAGAUGCGCGCAGAACCUUACCAACACUUGACAUGUUCGUCGCGACUCUAAGAGAUUGGAGUUUUCGGUUCGGCCGGACGAAACACAGGUGCUGCAUGGCUGUCGUCAGCUCGUGUCGUGAGAUGUUGGGUUAAGUCCCGCAACGAGCGCAACCCUCACUUUUAGUUGCCAUCAUUAAGUUGGGCACUCUAAAAGAACUGCCAGUGAUAAGCUGGAGGAAGGUGGGGAUGACGUCAAGUCCUCAUGGCCCUUACGUGUUGGGCUACACACGUGCUACAAUGGUAUCUACAACAGGAAGCAAGACUGCGAAGUUAAGCAAAUCCCUAAAAGAUACCUCAGUUCGGAUUGCACUCUGCAACUCGAGUGCAUGAAGCUGGAAUUACUAGUAAUCGUGGAUCAGCGUGCCACGGUGAAAUGCGUUCCCGGGUCU
Molecule: ribosomal RNA, 1307 nt
Filed under: uncultured bacterium
Lineage: Bacteria
Description: bacterial SSU rRNA
Rfam family: Bacterial small subunit ribosomal RNA
Source: RNAcentral